This 255-nucleotide unclassified non-coding RNA is filed under the name rhizosphere metagenome. RNAcentral describes it as "partial ribosomal RNA internal transcribed spacer region". The record is from RNAcentral.
GUAGGUGAACCUGCGGAAGGAUCAUUAACACUUUUUAAUGAGCAUCCAAAACCUUUUUUGGAUCAACCCAACCAUAUUGCGAACCAAUUUUCUAAUUUUACAAUUUACAAUUUAUUAAACUCUUACCAUUUUAUUUUAAUUUGUGUCUGACAACUUCUUUUCUGGUUUGUUUGUUUGUUUUAACCGACAAAAUAAACUGACUGAAAAUAAAAAUCUAACGCAAUACAACUCUUAACAACGGAUAUCUUGGCUCUC